UGGGGAAUUUUGGACAAUGGGCGCAAGCCUGAUCCAGCAAUGCCGCGUGAGUGAAGAAGGCCUUCGGGUUGUAAAGCUCUUUUGUCAGGGAAGAAACGGUCGAGGCUAAUACCUUUGGCUAAUGACGGUACCUGAAGAAUAAGCACCGGCUAACUACGUGCCAGCAGCCGCGGUAAUACGUAGGGUGCAGGCGUUAAUCGGAAUUACUGGGCGUAAAGCGUGCGCAGGCGGUUUGCUAAGACAGGUGUGAAAUCCCCGGGCUUAACCUGGGAACUGCGCUUGUUACUGGCAGGCUUGAGUGUGGCAGAGGGGGGUGGAAUUCCACGUGUAGCAGUGAAAUGCGUAGAGAUGUGGAGGAACACCGAUGGCGAAGGCAGCCCCCUGGGCUAACACUGACGCUCAUGCACGAAAGCGUGGGGAGCAAAC
This 426-nucleotide ribosomal RNA is filed under the name uncultured bacterium. RNAcentral's name for it is "bacterial SSU rRNA". It matches the Rfam family "Bacterial small subunit ribosomal RNA", at positions 355 to 773 of the family's 1533-position model. The record is from RNAcentral.